This is an RNA transcript of Nerophis lumbriciformis (worm pipefish), 1998 nucleotides long. It is a transcript of the gene named purine-rich element binding protein G, with no coding region annotated. The record is from RefSeq and is a predicted model, not a curated record. Lineage: Eukaryota; Metazoa; Chordata; Actinopteri; Syngnathiformes; Syngnathidae.
AAACUUUUUGACUCGUGGGCCGCAUUGGGUUAAAAAAAAUUGACCGGGGGCCAGGCUGUAUAUAUAUAUAUAUAUAUAUAUAUAUUAAUAUAUAUAUAUUGUCUUUUUAAUCUGUUUUGACAUUUAACAUUGUCACGUUAUUGAUGGGAAAAUUCAUUUUUAGACAAUAUGAUUUGCCUGAGCGGCUAGGAGACACCGAGAGUAACAAGCGGUAGAAAAUGGAUUAGAAAGGAAAGAUUAAAAAAUAAAAAAUAAAAACUUUUUUUUUAACUUGGGACUUCCCGUGGGCCGGAUUUUGGAUGCUGGGGGGCCGGAUCCGGCCCGCGGGCCGUAGUUUGGGGACCCCUGACUUAGACCCUUUUUGGUCCCCGGGAGCCCUAAAGGUAAAAAAAAAUCCAUAUAUUUUAUUAUGGUUUGAAAAUGAAAAAUAUCAAAAUGGCCCCCGCAUGUUUUAAUUUGUCCGUGUGCGGCCCUCAGUGGAACAAGUUUGGACACCCCAGCCUUAUAGGGUAUACUGAGUGUUCUCAACCGAGUUGCUGUGUGAAACGUGUCUCUUUAACAGAGGUAUUCUCAGGACGGGGAGGGGGGCGGGUUGGGUUCAUCGGGUUCAUGUAGUAUUUGACGCCUCCUCCGACUUCAGGUCGGCUGCUUCCCUCGGCGAGCUUGCUGCAACUCGAAUAGGGUGAUGCAAAAGAAGCAUGCAAUGGUUACAGUAGAUCAAUAACCGAGCUUGACCUUUUUUUUAUUUAGGACAGCUGCGGCACGAUGCCAUCUUCGGGUCAUUCCAGGCACAUCUAGCUCCAAUCAUUCCUAAGGAUGGGGUAAUGUCUUUGGCUGUAUAGAAGAGGAAUACACAUCACCAUGGCCGAUGGAUGUUGCAGGGGAUUGGAUCGAGUCCGGGGUAAGAUUGCGUCAGACCCCCUGCCUCGAGCGGCGUACGCUCCGCAAUGCCCGCAGCCCGGUGCCCAGCAGCAGGGUAACGACAUCCAGGAGCUCGCCUCCAAGCGAGUCGACAUCCAGAAGAAACGCUUCUACCUGGACGUGAAGCAGAGCGUGCGCGGACGCUUCCUCAAAAUAGCCGAGGUGUGGAUCGGCCGAGGCCGCCACGACAACAUCCGGAAGAGCAAGCUCACGCUGUCGAUGUCGAUGGCCCCGGCGCUCCGCUACAGCCUGGGGGACUUCAUCGAAUAUUACGCCCGCAUCGGACUGCGGGGGGGCCUCCUCGACGAGCACGGAAGCAACGGGCAGGGCCGAAGGAGAGCGCAGGAGCCCGCAUCGUCCCCCGCCGGCUCCGUGGCGUCGGACGAUCACGUCCACCGCGUCCUUAAGAGCGAAUUCAUCGAAAGGGACAAUCGGAAGUACUUUCUGGACCUCAAAGAGAACCAGAGGGGCAGGUUCCUGCGCAUCCGGCAGACGGUCAGCAAAGGGCACGGCACCAUGGGCUACUACGGCCAGGGCAUCGAACAGACCAUCGUCCUUCCCGCGCAGGGCUUGAUCGAGUUCCGGGACGCACUCUCGCAGCUGAUCGAGGACUACGGCGACGGCGACGACGACGGCGACGAGCGCGGCCGAGCGGCGACCGGAAGCCACGACUCUACCCCGGAGCUUCCGGAGGCCGCGUCCUUCCGAGUGGACAACAAGCGGUUUUAUUUCGACGUCGGUUCCAACCGCUUCGGCGUCUUUUUGAAAGUCAGCGAAGUGCGGCAGCCCUACAGGAACACCAUCACGGUGCCGUUAAAAGCCUGGGCGAGAUUCGGGGAGAAUUUCAUCCGGUACGAGGAGGAAAUGCGACGAAUGUUCACUUGUAACAAAGAGAAGAGGACAGAGGCUCGGCAGGACAGCGAGGAACAUGGAGACUGACCUUGACAAUCUUGGUGAAAUACCGCUGACACAGCGAGCCUGAGAUGAACUGAAGACAACGGCAACACUUUCACCCUAAAACGUCGUCAGGUGAUGAGAAUUGGCAGGGCCCAACUGAGUGUUUGAGAUAUCAUGGAG